AACGCACCUUGCGCUCCUUGGUAUUCCGAGGAGCAUGCCUGUUUGAGUGUCAUGGUAUUCUCAAUCCAUUCAAUACUGUCAAAGGUAUUGGAUUGGUAUUGGAUGUGGAGGAUUAUUGCUGGUCUCUUUAUUGAGUAUCAGCUCCUCUGAAAUGCAUUAGUGUGAAUGUUUACCGAGCAUUUUCUCAGUGUGAUAAUUAUCUACGCUGUGAUUGUGAAAGCAUUAUGGGAUCUGCUUCUAACUGUCUACUUGUUUAGACAAUUUAUUUAACAUCUGACCUCAAAUCAGGUAGGACUACCCGCUGAACUUAA
Molecule: ribosomal RNA, 311 nt
Filed under: uncultured fungus
Lineage: Eukaryota; Fungi
Description: eukaryotic LSU rRNA
Rfam family: 5.8S ribosomal RNA (bases 1-52)
Source: RNAcentral